CUCUCACUCACUCUCUCUGCCUCCUUUACUCUGCAGUGUUUUAGGUGGUGGCUAUGGGGCCCCAGAGGCUGCUCUGGGAAUGACAAACACCCAGAAGUAAAGCAAGUGGAGAAAAGCCAAUCAGACAGGUUUCCUGAGACCUGGGGCAGGAGAGGAAGAGACCUCUAGGGACAGCACAGACCAGGAGGGGAUUGAGGAGCCAAGGACAGGACAGGACGGACACCUUGCACUGCUAACCUGCUACACCUUUUGAAUUCAGGACCACGUGAAUAAGUUACCUACUGAAACCUUAAGUUGAGGACACAGAGGCACAGAGAUGUCAUCCAAGUUAUCCAAGGUCACACAGCUGGUAAGUUACAGAACCAGGAUUUGGACCCAGACAGUCUGGCUCCAGAGCCUGCUCAUAACCAGUACUCUAUACUGUUACGAC
Balaenoptera acutorostrata (minke whale) is the source of this 430-nucleotide long non-coding RNA. RefSeq lists it as uncharacterized. The record is from RefSeq and is a predicted model, not a curated record. NCBI's taxonomy places the organism in Eukaryota, Metazoa, Chordata, Mammalia, Artiodactyla, Balaenopteridae. The transcript is spliced from 3 exons.